GCUGGAAUCAAAAUAAGCAUCAGUAGAAGGAUUCACGAUAAAUUGGAGAGGAAGUACUCCUCAAUUGUAAAGAGAAGGGACAGGAGUGCCAACACGAGCAGGUUCAUACGUAUGAGACUGGGAAGGAGAAGGAGUUCUCAUCUGACAGCAUCUAUUUUCUCUUUAAGAGGCGAAGCCCAUCUAAAUGGGAGAGAAAAGGGGAAAGGGCUUGAAGAGAGAGAAAAGUGUUUGGAAUAGUUGUGGAGAUUGGCAAAGUGAACCGGCCUGAGAAAUUAUCAUUUCCAUAAAUACUGAGAGCCGUUUGAGAUUGGUGCUCAGGAACAUCUAGAGAAUGCAAUCUGCCCUGUUCUGUGACUUCCUGAAUGAAGGAAUGAGCACUUCUGGGGUGACUGCAUGCUCCACACUCACUUGGGUAUGUAAGUGCUAAUAGAUUUUAAAGUCACUUUACCGCUAGGUCACAUUCCCUUUACUUGGACUCCUGAAGUCUCUUGAUGCAGAAAGCCAACCACUAUGGAAAGCCAUCCUGGACGAUACUAAGGAUAGCAGUAACAUUUAUGGCUUAUUAUGUGCUGGGUCCUGAGCUAGGCACCAUACGUACAUAUAUGGUCUAUAUGUUAUACAUACACAGACAUACGUACAUACAUAUAUGGUGAAUAUAUACACACGCACACACAUAUCAUGCACAUAUAUAUAACUUUUUCCCAUGCAAUUAUUUCCACAAACCUAUGAGGGGUUUAAACUACCUUUCCCAUUUUAAAGACAGGAGAACGGGGACUCAGCGGGUUCCUUACCUCCAGCCCAGAGCCAUGAGCCCAGGCUGUGCCCACCCCAGGAGAGUUGUGGACCUGCCUGACCCGAGUGAACUAGGAAAGACCAUGGAGGAAACGGAGAAGGAAUCAACUUGGCCGACACCUUGGUUUCAGACUUCCAGCCUCCAGAACUAUGAGAUGUUUGACGCACAGCCUGUGGUCCUUUGUUACGGCAGCCCUAGCAAACAAACACACUGAGGAGGAAGAAGAAACGUCUAUUGGAGGUGACUCCGGAAGGCAGCCUUUGAGAGAAGUACAUGAACUACUUAAAACCUGAGUCUGACACAAGGGCCACAUACUGCAUGAUGCUGUUCGUAUGAAGCCUCCCCAACAGGCACAUAUACAGACAGAAGGUGGAUUGCCUAGGUCAGCUGAAGCGGGGGAGGGAGGAAUGACAAUGAGUAUGGGGUUUCUU
RNAcentral lists this long non-coding RNA (1224 nucleotides) under Equus asinus (donkey). Its description in RNAcentral is "lncRNA (ENSEASG00005031530.1)". Lineage: Eukaryota; Metazoa; Chordata; Mammalia; Perissodactyla; Equidae. The record is from RNAcentral.